UACGUAGGGGGCAAGCGUUGUCCGGAUUUAUUGGGCGUAAAGCGCGUGUAGGCGGCCAGAUAGGUCUGCUGUGAAAACUCGAGGCUCAACCUCGAGCUGUCGGCGGAAACCAUCUGGCUAGAGUCCGGAAGAGGAGAAUGGAAUUCCCGGUGUAGCGGUGAAAUGCGCAGAUAUCGGGAAGAACACCCGUGGCGAAGGCGGUUCUCUGGGACGGUACUGACGCUGAGACGCGAAAGCGUGGGGAGCGAACAGG
This 253-nucleotide ribosomal RNA is filed under the name uncultured bacterium. Its description in RNAcentral is "partial 16S ribosomal RNA". It matches the Rfam family "Bacterial small subunit ribosomal RNA", at positions 524 to 776 of the family's 1533-position model. The record is from RNAcentral.